UACGUAGGGGGCAAGCGUUGUCCGGAUUUAUUGGGCGUAAAGAGCGUGUAGGCGGCCAGGUAGGUCUGCUGUGAAAACUCGAGGCUUAACCUCGAGAUGUCGGCGGAAACCAUCUGGCUAGAGUCCGGAAGAGGAGAGUGGAAUUCCUGGUGUAGCGGUGAAAUGCGCAGAUAUCAGGAAGAACACCUAUGGCGAAGGCAGCUCUCUGGGACGGUACUGACGCUGAGACGCGAAAGCGUGGGGAGCGAACAGG
This 253-nucleotide ribosomal RNA is filed under the name uncultured bacterium. RNAcentral's name for it is "partial 16S ribosomal RNA". It matches the Rfam family "Bacterial small subunit ribosomal RNA", at positions 524 to 776 of the family's 1533-position model. The record is from RNAcentral.